AGAGUUUGAUCCUGGCUCAGGAUGAACGCUGGCGGCGUGCCUAACACAUGCAAGUCGAGCGAGAAACAAGGGACGGAGAUUUCGGUUGAAGUUUCUUGCGGAAAGCGGCGGACGGGUGAGUAACGCGUAGGCAACCUGCCCUUUGCAGAGGGAUAGCCUCGGGAAACCGGGAUUAAAACCUCAUGAUACUGAGAGCCCGCAUGGGCUUUUGGCCAAAGAUUUAUCGGCAGAGGAUGGGCCUGCGUCUGAUUAGUUAGUUGGUGGGGUAACGGCCUACCAAGGCGACGAUCAGUAGCCGACCUGAGAGGGUGAUCGGCCACAUUGGAACUGAGACACGGUCCAAACUCCUACGGGAGGCAGCAGUGGGGAAUCUUGCACAAUGGGCGAAAGCCUGAUGCAGCAACGCCGCGUGAGCGAAGAAGGCCUUUGGGUCGUAAAGCUCUGUCCUAAGGGAAGAAGGAAGUGACGGUACCUUAGGAGGAAGCCCCGGCUAACUACGUG
RNAcentral lists this ribosomal RNA (501 nucleotides) under uncultured Anaerovorax sp. RNAcentral's name for it is "bacterial SSU rRNA". It matches the Rfam family "Bacterial small subunit ribosomal RNA", at positions 8 to 507 of the family's 1533-position model. The record is from RNAcentral. Lineage: Bacteria; Bacillati; Bacillota; Clostridia; Peptostreptococcales; Anaerovoracaceae.